GGAUCCAGACUUUGAUCCUGGCUCAGGAUGAACGCUGGCGGCGUGCCUAACACAUGCAAGUCGAACGGAACUUUAACGGAACAAGGCUUCGGCCAAGUGAAAUUAAAGUUUAGUGGCGGACGGGUGAGUAACGCGUGAGUAACCUGCCUUUCACAGGGGGAUAACGUUUGGAAACGAACGCUAAUACCGCAUAAUACAGCAGAGUCGCAUGGCUCAGCUGUCAAAGAUUUUAUCGGUGAAAGAUGGACUCGCGUCCGAUUAGGUAGUUGGUGAGGUAACGGCUCACCAAGCCGACGAUCGGUAGCCGGACUGAGAGGUUGAACGGCCACAUUGGGACUGAGACACGGCCCAGACUCCUACGGGAGGCAGCAGUGGGGAAUAUUGCACAAUGGGCGCAAGCCUGAUGCAGCAACGCCGCGUGAGGGAAGACGGUUUUCGGAUUGUAAACCUCUGUCUUCGGUGACGAAGAAGUGACGGUAGCCAAGGAGGAAGCCACGGCUAACUACGUGCCAGCAGCCGCGGUAAUACGUAGGUGGCAAGCGUUAUCCGGAAUUACUGGGUGUAAAGGGAGCGCAGGCGGGAUAGCAAGUCAGCGGUGAAAUGCAUGGGCUUAACUCAUGAGCUGCCGUUGAAACUGUUAUUCUUGAGUGGAGUAGAGGCAGGCGGAAUUCCGAGUGUAGCGGUGAAAUGCGUAGAUAUUCGGAGGAACACCAGUGGCGAAGGCGGCCUGCUGGGCUCUAACUGACGCUGAGGCUCGAAAGUGUGGGGAGCAAACAGGAUUAGAUACCCUGGUAGUCCACACUGUAAACGAUGAUUGCUAGGUGUGGGGGGUCUGACCCCCUCCGUGCCGGAGUUAACGCAAUAAGCAAUCCACCUGGGGAGUACGGCCGCAAGGUUGCAACUCAAAGGAAUUGACGG
Molecule: ribosomal RNA, 918 nt
Filed under: uncultured Bacteroidota bacterium
Lineage: Bacteria; Pseudomonadati; Bacteroidota
Description: bacterial SSU rRNA
Rfam family: Bacterial small subunit ribosomal RNA
Source: RNAcentral